AGAGUUUGAUCCUGGCUCAGAAUCAACGCUGGCGGCGCGCUUAACACAUGCAAGUCGCACGAGAAAGUGGAGCAAUCCAUGAGUAAAGUGGCGUACGGGUGAGUAACACGUGGAUCAUCUACCUUCUAGUGGGGAAUACCCCCGGGAAACUGGGGACAAUACCGCAUAAGCUCGUAAGAGGAAAGCAGCAAUGCGCUGGAAGAGGAGUCCGCGGCUGAUUAGCUAGUUGGCGGGGUAACGGCCCACCAAGGCGAAGAUCGGUAGCCGGCCUGAGAGGGCACACGGCCACACUGGCACUGAAAUACGGGCCAGACUCCUACGGGAGGCAGCAGUGGGGAAUCUUGCACAAUGGAGGAAACUCUGAUGCAGCGACGCCGCGUGAGCGAUGAAGCCCUUCGGGGUGUAAAGCUCUUUCGACGGGAACGAUAAUGACGGUACCCGAAGAAGAAGCUGCGGCUAACUACGUGCCAGCAGCCGCGGUAAUACGUAGGCAGCAAGCGUUGUUCGGAAUUACUGGGCGUAAAGAGUGUGUAGGCGGUGUUCUAAGUUUGUCGUGAAAUCUCCCGGCUUAACUGGGAGGGUGCGGCGAAAACUGGAAUGCUAGAGGAUGGGAGAGGUAAGCGGAGUUCCUGGUGUAGCGGUGAAAUGCGUAGAUAUCAGGAAGAACACCUGUGGUGUAGACAGCUUACUGGACCAUUUCUGACGCUGAGACACGAAAGCGUGGGUAGCAAACAGGAUUAGAUACCCUAGUAGUCC
This 756-nucleotide ribosomal RNA is filed under the name uncultured bacterium. RNAcentral's name for it is "bacterial SSU rRNA". It matches the Rfam family "Bacterial small subunit ribosomal RNA", at positions 8 to 796 of the family's 1533-position model. The record is from RNAcentral.